Molecule: ribosomal RNA, 430 nt
Filed under: bacterium
Lineage: Bacteria
Description: partial 16S ribosomal RNA
Rfam family: Bacterial small subunit ribosomal RNA
Source: RNAcentral
UAGGGAAUCUUCCGCAAUGGACGAAAGUCUGACGGAGCGACGCCGCGUGAGCGAAGAAGGUCUUCGGAUCGUAAAGCUCUGUUGUUAGGGAAGAAGAAGUGCCGUUCGAUCAGGGCGGCACGGUGACGGUACCUAACGAGAAAGCCCCGGCUAACUACGUGCCAGCAGCCGCGGUAAUACGUAGGGGGCGAGCGUUGUCCGGAAUUAUUGGGCGUAAAGCGCGCGCAGGCGGUCCCUUAAGUCUGAUGUGAAAGCCCACGGCUUAACCGUGGAGGGUCAUUGGAAACUGGGGGACUUGAGUGCAGAAGAGGAGAGCGGAAUUCCACGUGUAGCGGUGAAAUGCGUAGAGAUGUGGAGGAACACCAGUGGCGAAGGCGGCUCUCUGGUCUGUAACUGACGCUGAGGCGCGAAAGCGUGGGGAGCAAACAGG